This 501-nucleotide ribosomal RNA is filed under the name uncultured bacterium. RNAcentral describes it as "partial 16S ribosomal RNA". It matches the Rfam family "Bacterial small subunit ribosomal RNA", at positions 30 to 523 of the family's 1533-position model. The record is from RNAcentral.
AUUGAACGCUGGCGGCAGGCUUAACACAUGCAAGUCGAGCGGGGAAAGGUAGCUUGCUACUUAACCUAGCGGCGGACGGGUGAGUAAUGCUUAGGAAUCUGCCUAUUAGUGGGGGACAACAUCUCGAAAGGGAUGCUAAUACCGCAUACGUCCUACGGGAGAAAGCAGGGGACCUUCGGGCCUUGCGCUAAUAGAUGAGCCUAAGUCGGAUUAGCUAGUUGGUGGGGUAAAGGCCUACCAAGGCGACGAUCUGUAGCGGGUCUGAGAGGAUGGUCCGCCACGCUGGGUAUGAGACACGGCCCAGACUCCUACGGGAGGCAGCAGUGGGGAAUAUUGGACAAUGGGGGGAACCCUGAUCCAGCCAUGCCGCGUGUGUGAAGAAGGCCUUUUGGUUGUAAAGCACUUUAAGCGAGGAGGAGGCUACCGAGAUUAAUACUCUUGGAUAGUGGACGUUACUCGCAGAAUAAGCACCGGCUAACUCUGUGCCAGCAGCCGCCGUAA